This is a long non-coding RNA of Glycine soja, 235 nucleotides long. RefSeq lists it as uncharacterized. Lineage: Eukaryota; Viridiplantae; Streptophyta; Magnoliopsida; Fabales; Fabaceae. The transcript has 2 exons. The record is from RefSeq and is a predicted model, not a curated record.
UAUCGCUGGCUGAAGACACGUGAGCCCGCUUAGAGAUGAAUAGGUGGAUGACUAUGAAGAACCUCAUGCUAGAGGACACGAGAACACAACGCUCUGAUAGGAUGUGACAUUAGGAUAUAUGUUCUAGAUUAAUUGUAUGAAGACCUUGUUGAGUCGAGAAUACUUUAUUAUUUAUUUGGACAAGUUUGAAUAUGAUGUAGAAGAAAAUGAAUGUGAGCCUUUUUCCCCUUUGAAA